This 169-nucleotide ribosomal RNA is filed under the name uncultured Pseudomonas sp. Its description in RNAcentral is "partial 16S ribosomal RNA". It matches the Rfam family "Bacterial small subunit ribosomal RNA", at positions 1215 to 1382 of the family's 1533-position model. Lineage: Bacteria; Pseudomonadati; Pseudomonadota; Gammaproteobacteria; Pseudomonadales; Pseudomonadaceae. The record is from RNAcentral.
UACACACGUGCUACAAUGGUCGGUACAAAGGGUUAGCCAAGCCGCGAGGUGGAGCUAAUCCCAUAAAACCGAUCGUAGUCCGGAUCGCAGUCUGCAACUCGACUGCGUGAAGUCGGAAUCGCUAGUAAUCGUGAAUCAGAAUGUCACGGUGAAUACGUUCCCGGGCCUU